RNAcentral lists this ribosomal RNA (1103 nucleotides) under Caymanabyssia sp. SWA-2010. RNAcentral describes it as "bacterial SSU rRNA". It matches the Rfam family "Eukaryotic small subunit ribosomal RNA", at positions 417 to 1394 of the family's 1831-position model. The record is from RNAcentral. Lineage: Eukaryota; Metazoa; Mollusca; Gastropoda; Lepetellida; Pseudococculinidae.
UAUGGAGGCAGCAGGCGCGCAACUUACCCAAUCUCGACUCGAGGAGGUAGUGACGAAAAAUAUCGGUAGGGGACUCAACGAGAUCUCGGUGCCGGAAUGUGCGCAUUAUAAGCCGCUGCGCGAGGAUCGAUUGGAGGGCAAGUCUGGUGCCAGCAGCCGCGGUAACUCCAGCUCCAAUAGUGUAUAUAUAUGUUGUUGCGGUUAAAACGCUCGUAGUUGGAUCUCGGGAUCGCUAGGCGGCGGCUAACAAGCAAGCGACUGGUCGUAUGCGCUUACGUGCUGGCCAGGGGUCUUCGCGGGGUCGCUGUCGUAAGAUCUCAUGUCAGCCGGAUUCUCCGCGGUUCGCCCCGGAGAGGCGGCGUUGCUACUUUGUAAAAAUUAGAGUGCUCAAGGCAGGCUGAACGCCCGCAUAGUGUUACAUGGAAUAGCCGAAGACGACUCCGGUCCCGAUUUCGCUGGCUUUUUGCGGGACACGAGGGUAAUGAUUGAGAGAGACGGUGCGGGGGUACUGGUACUGCUGCGUGAGAGGUGAAAUUCUUGGAUCGCAGCCUGACUGACCGAGGCGAAAGCAUCUACCAAGGACGUUUUCGUUAAUCAAGAACUAACGUUGGAGGUUCGAAGACGAUCAGAUACCGUCGUAGUUCUAACCCUAAGCUAUGCCAACUGGCCGCCCGCCAGAGUAGUGCUCAUCCGUCUGUUUGUGACCUCGCGGGUGGCUCGCCCCUAAAGGAAAGUCUUCGGGCUCCGGGGGAAGUAUGGUUGCAAAAGUGGAACUUAAAGGAAUUGACGGAAAGGCACCACCAGGAGUGGAGCCUGCGGCUUAAUUUGACUCAACACGGGGAAACUUACCCGGUCCGGACACUGGCAUGAUUGACAGACUGAAGCUCUUUCUUGAUCCAGGGGUUGGUGGUGCAUGGCCGUUCUUAGUUCGUGGAGCGAUCUGUCUGGUUAAUUCCGCUAACGUGACGAGACCCCGACCUGCCAAAUAGUUCGCUUCCGGGCGACCGGUCGCGAAGGCCAGAGCCUUGAAACAACCGCUCGGUUCCGGCGGCGGCGUUCGCGCUCGCUCGUCGGGCCGGCGUUCAAAGGUUUGUAGCGCCAAA